Ribosomal RNA from Panthera tigris altaica (Amur tiger), 110 nucleotides. Lineage: Eukaryota; Metazoa; Chordata; Mammalia; Carnivora; Felidae. The record is from Ensembl.
ACAUUUGGAAGAGGCUGUGUGGCCACCUGGUCCCAGCAGACCCUAGAGAACAACCACAUUUGCUGCUGCUGGAACAAGGUCAUUAAGGGUGAAGCCUGGUGCCAGAUGUG